UCACGUCUUACGACGGCAGUUUCACUAGAGUUCCCAGCGUUACCUGAUGGCAACUAGUGAUGGGGGUUGCGCUCGUUGCGGGACUUAACCCAACACCUCACGGCACGAGCUGACGACAGCCAUGCACCGCCUGUUAUGGGCCCUUUCGGACACCACAUCUCUGUGGCUUUUCCCAUAAUGUCAAACCCAGGUAAGGUUCUUCGGGUCGCAUCGAAUUAAGCCGCAUGCUCCGCCGCUUGUGCGGGGACCCGUCAAUUCCUUUGAGUUUUAGCCUUGCGGCCGUACUCCCCAGGCGGGGCACUUAAUGCGUUAGCUGCGGCACCCAAGGGGUCAAUACCUCGGACACCUAGUGCCCAUCGUUUACAGCCAGGACUAC
Molecule: unclassified non-coding RNA, 376 nt
Filed under: uncultured bacterium
Lineage: Bacteria
Description: contains 16S-23S intergenic spacer region
Source: RNAcentral